RNAcentral lists this ribosomal RNA (357 nucleotides) under uncultured bacterium. RNAcentral's name for it is "bacterial SSU rRNA". It matches the Rfam family "Bacterial small subunit ribosomal RNA", at positions 29 to 414 of the family's 1533-position model. The record is from RNAcentral.
AACGAACGCUGGCGGCAGGCCUAACACAUGCAAGUCGAACGCCGUAGCAAUACGGAGUGGCAGACGGGUGAGUAACACGUGGGAACGUACCCUUCGGUUCGGAAUAACUCAGGGAAACUUGAGCUAAUACCGGAUACGUCCGAGAGGAGAAAGAUUUAUCGCCGAGGGAUCGGCCCGCGUCUGAUUAGCUUGUUGGUGAGGUAACGGCUCACCAAGGCGACGAUCAGUAGCUGGCUGAGAGGAUGAUCAGCCACAUUGGGACUGAGACACGGCCCAAACUCCUACGGGAGGCAGCAGUGGGGAAUAUUGGACAAUGGGCGCAAGCCUGAUCCAGCCAUGCCGCGUGAGUGAUGAAGG